GAUGAACGCUAGCUACAGGCUUAACACAUGCAAGUCGAGGGGAAACGGCAUUGAGUGCUUGCACUCUUUGGACGUCGACCGGCGCACGGGUGAGUAACGCGUAUCCAACCUUCCCAUUACUGUGGGAUAACCUGCCGAAAGGCAGACUAAUACCGCAUAGUCUUCGAUGACGGCAUCAGAUUUGAAGUAAAGAUUUAUCGGUAAUGGAUGGGGAUGCGUCUGAUUAGCUUGUUGGCGGGGUAACGGCCCACCAAGGCGACGAUCAGUAGGGGUUCUGAGAGGAAGGUCCCCCACAUUGGAACUGAGACACGGUCCAAACUCCUACGGGAGGCAGCAGUGAGGAAUAUUGGUCAAUGGACGGAAGUCUGAACCAGCCAAGUAGCGUGCAGGAUGACGGCCCUAUGGGUUGUAAACUGCUUUUGUAUGGGGAUAAAGUUAGGGACGUGUCCCUAUUUGCAGGUACCAUACGAAUAAGGACCGGCUAAUUCCGUGCCAGCAGCCGCGGUAAUACGGAAGGUCCAGGCGUUAUCCGGAUUUAUUGGGUUUAAAGGGAGCGUAGGCUGGAGAUUAAGUGUGUUGUGAAAUGUAGACGCUCAACGUCUGAAUUGCAGCGCAUACUGGUUUCCUUGAGUACGCACAACGUUGGCGGAAUUCGUCGUGUAGCGGUGAAAUGCUUAGAUAUGACGAAGAACUCCGAUUGCGAAGGCAGCUGACGGGAGCGCAACUGACGCUUAAGCUCGAAGGUGCGGGUAUNNAACAGG
This 761-nucleotide ribosomal RNA is filed under the name Prevotella melaninogenica. RNAcentral's name for it is "bacterial SSU rRNA". It matches the Rfam family "Bacterial small subunit ribosomal RNA", at positions 28 to 776 of the family's 1533-position model. The record is from RNAcentral. Lineage: Bacteria; Pseudomonadati; Bacteroidota; Bacteroidia; Bacteroidales; Prevotellaceae.